Molecule: microRNA precursor, 100 nt
Filed under: Triticum aestivum (bread wheat)
Lineage: Eukaryota; Viridiplantae; Streptophyta; Magnoliopsida; Poales; Poaceae
Also listed under: 1 other name
Description: MIR9666 microRNA precursor family
Rfam family: MIR9666 microRNA precursor family
Source: Rfam by way of RNAcentral
UCAUUCGGAUUCGCCAUCAUACGUCCAACCGUGCAUUUGGUAUGCAUAUAUAUAUGCAUCACGAGCCACGGUUGGGCUGUAUGAUGGCGAUAUCGAUUGA